AGCUUCACUGGAUUUUCAGCCUCAUAGGACAGCAUACCCCUGGUGUUUCCAACAGGUCUCACCGAGGAAGGAACACCCACUCUGGACUAGAGGGCAUCAUACAGUGAUCUGAGGCCUCGGACUGAGGAAAAAGGAAAAAGAGAAGGAAGCGGGCUAAGCAGUGUCCAUCACUCUCUGCUUCCUGCUGUGGCUGCAGCUAGGGAUGCUCCUGCAACCAUGCCCCCUCCACCGUGGACUGUGUCCCCUUAAGCUGUGAGUCAACACAAGCCCUUUGUUCUUAUGUUGGCUUUUUUCAGGAAGUCUGUCACAGCAAAGAGGAAAAUGACUAAUACAACGUACAGUAGCAGAAAAGCGUGUCGGGCCUAUGGAAUGGCAUCCUUUGUUCUAUCUCUUCUGCCAGCGUUUGGGAUCCAGGUGUAGAACUAACUCUCAGCUACGUCUCCAGCACCACGUCUGCCUGGACACUGUCAUGCUUCCCACCAUGACAAUAAUGGAUUAAACCUCUGAACUGAGACAUCAGGGUGGCUGAUUUCUGAACUUGUGGAACUCAGAAUCCUCGUUCUUCAGUCUCCUGAGCGCUGCAGCCACAGGAUUGCUCCACCAUGCCUGGCUCAGGACUUGUCUGGUUUUAGCUGGCUCAGCUGUUGAGGAUCUCAUAUCAACUGUGACAGCCACGAUCACCAUCUCCAUGUCACCAUCACAGCCUCUUCUCUGCCGUCUGAAAUGCAACUCCAGAGCCAUCAACAGCACAGCAGAAGGUCUCACUCUGUGAGGUGACACCUCACAGCUCUUCAGUGAGCUUUGGCCUAAGUUAGAGGCUGAGCAAAGAGGAGACAGUUGCUGUAUUUCUGCUUUUGGGGCCUUGCUUACUGUUUGUUGUUUCAGCAUUACAGACUGGACAUUAAAAGUCUGACUAAAUCAUGUGCUGAAGGCUUGGUCCCCGGCUAUUGGGAAGUGAUGGAAUGGCAGAAGGUAGGGCCUGCUUAGAGGAAGUAGGAACUGGUGCUGGAGCUAUGAAGGAUAUAUUGAAUCCCUUGGCCAUUUCUUAUCCCUCUCUCUUUCCUUCAUCUGGACAGCCAGUCCUGCUCCACUAUGACAUUCUGACUCAGAAAGGGAUCAGAAACAGUGCAGCCAAGCAACCAUGGCCUGAGACCUCUGAAGCUGUGAGCAAUGAUGAAUCUUCACACCCUUGGGUUUACUUUUUAGGUAUUUCACUGCAGCACAGCACAGUCAAUACAGAAGACCAUCACCAAGAAAGAUCCAGUGUUUUGUGUUUCUACACAAGCAAACCAGAGACCAGUGCAGACAAUGAAACAAAACUUUACCACUCAGAAACCACCAGCUGCCUGCUAAGACGUCCCCACUCCAAGCCCCUCACACACAGUUUCUGUCUCCCUGAACAUGACAGCUCACUACCUGUGUUUGCGCUCACUCUCCUCCUUCUCUUUCUGCCUGUGUGUAAACGCUCCUGUAUGUGUGCACAUGGAAUGCAGGAGCACAUAUGUUCAUGUAGACUCUAGAGUCAACACUGGAUGUCGUCCUCCUCAAUCACUCUCCCUCCACCUUUAAUUUUUUGUUUUGUUUUUCGAGACAGGGUUUAUCUGUGUAGCCCUGGCUAACCUGAAAUUCAUUCUGUAGCUGAGGCUGGCCUUGAACUCAGAGAUCCUCCUGUCCUCUGCCUCCCAAGUGCUGGGAUUAAAGGCAUGCACCACCA
Molecule: long non-coding RNA, 1714 nt
Organism: Meriones unguiculatus (Mongolian gerbil)
Lineage: Eukaryota; Metazoa; Chordata; Mammalia; Rodentia; Muridae
Exons: 3
Source: RefSeq, a predicted model, not a curated record